AGUGAACGCUGGCGGUAGGCCUAACACAUGCAAGUCGAACGGCAGCACAGGAGAGCUUGCUCUCUGGGUGGCGAGUGGCGGACGGGUGAGGAAUACAUCGGAAUCUACCUUUUUCGUGGGGGAUAACGUAGGGAAACUUACGCUAAUACCGCAUACGACCUACGGGUGAAAAGUGGGGACGGCAAGGCCUCACGCGAUUAGAUGAGCCGAUGUCCGAUUAGCUAGUUGGCGGGGUAAUGGCCCACCAAGGCGACGAUCGGUAGCUGGUCUGAGAGGGAUGAUCAGCCACACUGGAACUGAGACACGGUCCAGACUCCUACGGGGAGGGCAGCAGUGGGGAAAUNUUGGACAAUGGGCGCAAGCCUGAUCCAGCCAUACUGCGUGGG
This 386-nucleotide ribosomal RNA is filed under the name uncultured bacterium. Its description in RNAcentral is "bacterial SSU rRNA". It matches the Rfam family "Bacterial small subunit ribosomal RNA", at positions 29 to 405 of the family's 1533-position model. The record is from RNAcentral.